GCGAGGGUUAAUAUAAAGGAGAGCGGCAUGUUCAAAAAAUUAGGCUGGCGUUUUCAGAUUGAAUCGGUCAUCACUUGCUCUCGCGCCGGUAUGAAGAAAACUUCCCUCUAUUUCCAAAACAUCAAAACGCGCGUUACUUUGUCUUCUACAUCAAAAACGUACGCGCAGAACGAUUAGAGAAAGUCGAGAAGUCGGGGAGUAAUUCCAAGAAGUUGAGAAAGGCAAGUUCAUUGAUCUGGACCUCAAGCAGUAAUGGCUACAAGCAGGUUCUAUUCCAUCGUUUCUAUUGGAAGAAGUCAUUUGCAUGUGUCAAUGUGAAGGGGUUUGAUUUCGUCAUUAUCUGUGAAUCUGUAAUGCUGUUAAGCUACUCCUGAGUUCAAUUUUUUCACUUUCUCUCAUUUCUUGUUAAGAGAGUAUGGAUUUCACAUUUUUUUGAUACCUAUCGAUUUCAUCCAUUAAGGUGAGAGAAACCGGCAUCAUGCAUCAUGGCAAUUUUGUGAGGAUGUACAAUAGAAUGAACUACUCUUCUAGAAAAGCAAAAGGAAUUUUGGAAAGUUGAGUUGAAGGAUUUCUCUAGCAAAAAUGGAUAUGUUUUGAAUAAGAAUGGAGACGGUGGUCCUUUGCUUGUAGAUGUUCAUGAAGGAUACUUGAAAUUUGAGGUCAUGGGUUAGUGGUUCAACAUACAGGUCAACUGGGUCAACCCAUGAAGUGAACAAAGUUGUUGAGCAACUGAAGACAACCAAAGUUUCAGGUUAGGAAGGCUUGAAAAUGUUGCAUAUGGAGGGUCCUCAUAUAUAGGUAUGUUGAAGAUCAAUAGUCCUGUUGAUGAGGUUUCUUGAAUGGGCUUAUCAGGCGAUCAAACCUCCACCACUCAAGAUUUGUGGAUCUAGGGCCUAAAAUAGAAAACUCAAAGAGAAUGAUGUCCCAAAAGAUGGGACAUAUGCAUGAGUUUCAUCACUGAUGAGCCAACGUUGUAUUGAAUGUCUAAAUUCUAGGAUAGGAUAGGUAUCUAGCAUAAUAGUGUUCUAUGUUUUUAACUUGUCUUUUAAUAUAUUUAUUUAUUUUUUUUUUGAACAGCUAGUAGACUCUGUGAUGUAGACAGAACAUCGAUAAUCCUAAUGUCAAGUUAAGUUUCCCAUA
Nelumbo nucifera (sacred lotus) is the source of this 1140-nucleotide non-coding RNA. The record is from RefSeq and is a predicted model, not a curated record. Lineage: Eukaryota; Viridiplantae; Streptophyta; Magnoliopsida; Proteales; Nelumbonaceae.